Apis cerana (Asiatic honeybee) is the source of this 10666-nucleotide long non-coding RNA. RefSeq lists it as uncharacterized. The record is from RefSeq and is a predicted model, not a curated record. NCBI's taxonomy places the organism in Eukaryota, Metazoa, Arthropoda, Insecta, Hymenoptera, Apidae.
CCCAUCUUUAAAGACGAUCGAACUGAAUAUUUUGCUGAUUAAAGAAGACGAAUCAUCUCGAUCUCGAUGCGUUAUCGAUCUCUCUCGCGUAUCAAAAGUGACCUAUUAUACGCAUCAUCGUCAUUCUUGCCUCUUCGGAAACAGACGUCGGGGACAACGCGAGGUGGGUCCACUUGCCAAUUAACGAACUUAUAAUUAGCACACAGUGGUGACAACUUUCUCGUGCUGGGAUUACAAGUUUCCUUCCUGGCCGGAAGCGCGUGCUUUGUUGCAAACAUUGGAUAAUGACGGUUACGUCCUUCCGACGUAACCGUUCUGCCGUGUUGUGCACCCUUGUUUCCAGGUGCGACGGCCAUGUUAUUUCCGCUCGUCUCCUGUCAAUUUGAUUCUUUUUUUUUUACCAUGGAUUCUUUUAAGAAGUUCGAAAAUAUUCGAAUCUUGUUGAUUAUUUUUUAAUAGUAUUAUUUUUAGAAGUAAUCGAAAAUAUAAAUUAUAAAAGUUGUUAGAUACAUUUUUCAUAUUGCUGUAUGCAGAACAUUAUGCAUUCAGUGAUUAAUUAACUCUAUAAUCCAUAAUUUUUUUGAAAAAAACUUUCUGAUUACACCUCAUUUGUCGCAAAUAAUAUAUUUGUAAAAGAUAGCAUAAACUAUAUCGUGAAAGAUAUAAAAGUUAGAGAAGAGUCGUCAAUUUUACAAAUGUUCGAAAAAUAUUUCUAUAAUCGAUUGUAAUUUUCUUUCUUUUAUAUGUAGAGAGAAGAAUAGAAAAAACUGGAUUGCAGGGAUGGAUAAUUAUUUCUUUUUGGAAAAUUAUCUUUCUAUUCCCAAUGGAGAAAAAUCACUCGACUGCCAUUAUUGAAUUUUUGCAUAGUACAAGCUACCAGAAUUUCGAUACCAUUUCCUCGAAUCCAAACUAUAAUUUCCGGUCCUGGCUCUCCUUAACCAGUGGAGAACUAGCCAGAAACUUUCGUCCCUGCGCCGAACAGUUUCAAAUUCGGGAACAUUCUUAGAGAAUUUCCAUACCCGCCCUCUUAAUCGAAUCUUCGACUUGGCCGAAUUGAGCUUUGGCCAGAGUCUAUUCGCAACUUCUUUUCCAAUUUACUCUCCCAAUAAGUAACAGUGAAAAAUAUUUCGAAAAAGAAUCGAGCGGAUUAAUUAUUCAAUCGAUCCAAUUAUUAUUACUCUUCGCAAAAUCUGCUCAAACUUAAUUCACCGUAAAAUUAAAAUAUCGCUAAAGUUGCAAGAAAGUUUGCUCGACGAAUUAUUAUUUCGAAAACUUCCCACCCCCGAAAAACGAAACCCUUUGAAUCGCCGUGACGAGCAUUGUUCGAAACGAGCGGCGUCGACUUAAACCGUAAACCGGAAUAUUCGUUAAUCCACGGAGCAAAAUCGGCGUCCGUAUAAAAUCGGGAGAUCGCCGGGCGGAUCUAAGCCAAGGUGGCGAAAAGCCGGACGGAUUAUAGGAGGGGACGAUAAUGGAGGACGGUUUCGCGAGGAAAAAGGGGGGCGAUUAAAGCAUACUUCCUCCCCCGUCUCGCGACACUUUGUAACGAGAAUGGAUGCGGGCGAGUCUGGGAACACGACGCUUAAAGUUGAAACAAACUUCCACUCUCCCUCCCCUCGAAGGUCUUUUCCAGUUGUUGGGCGGAUACGCUUGCCUAUGGAGCGGGACGACAAGGAAAAUGGAAAUGUUGGGUGUGUGUAUUCUUUGAGGGGCGCGCUCGAGAGGAACGAAGAGGGUUAAAAUAAAAGAGCCGGUAAUUGAAUAAAUGUUACGAUCCGAUGUUACGUUCUGGAUAAAGGGAGAGGGAGAGGGAGGCUUGUUCGUGGAGAAUGGAUAGGCAAACGUGGUGGUGGAAGAUAGUUUUCUCGUAUCGUUUUAGAUUUUAAUGGAAUUCGAGCGCGUGUGUGAAGGCGCGUCGUUUUUGAGGAAAUUUUGCAGGGCGAGAAUCACGGUGGCACAUAAAAGCAAGAAUGGAAUAAUAUAAUCCUUUUUUGUGUCGAUAAACGAGUAUCACGUAUGAAACAAUUUAAGAGAGACUAAUUAUAUUCGAAAGGAAGUCAAUAAGUAAGUUUAAUCGAUUGAACCUUUCAAAAUAAUUUCCUUAUGAUUCUUAGCACCCAUUAUUUGAUCUUCCAGUUGAGAUUGACUUCUUUUGAAGGCAGACACAUCUGACACAUCUCUUUAUGAGAAAUUAACAACAAACGGAAGAAGAGACGAAAGAGCGGAUCGUUGGUUGUUCCAUUUUUGUUUUUUUCGUAGUAGAGGGCACGCGAUUCGAUCGCAUUUCCCUUUAAAAUGGCGUUGCGAUAAACGCGAACGGUGGCCGAAUGUUGGUUUCGCGCGGAAUCGCUUCUAGGAAACCGGAAAUGAAGCCGCGCCACCCUCCCCGCUGAUCUGCAUUUGAAACGAGCAGCCGCGACGUUGCUCUUGUCAUUUACCUUUAUUGCCCCGAUCGUGUAACCCUUCUUAACAAGUUGCAACUUGUCCCCGUUGUGUUCCUUUCCGAUGUAAAACGCAACUUCCGAUUCCCUCCUUUAUUCCCCAUCCGUUUCUUUCUGGGUGAAAUUAAAUUUGUCGCGCGUUAUGGAUGAUAAUAUCGGAUAUAUAUCGUUUCGAAUCGAAGCGAAAAUAAUUUAUUUAUUUAUUUAUUUUUUUUGAGAAAAUUUAUCUCGAAACGAAUGGAAUGAUGAAUUAUCCUUUUAAAUAUAACAAAUGUUUGUUUCGAUAAUAACGAAAAUUUUCCAAUUUUCGCAAGAAAUUCGCAAAAAUUCAAAGAGGAAAUGUUCAAACUGAAUAAAAUGAAACGUAUUGAAACGUAACAUCCUUCUAGAAAAUCUUUUAAAAUUCGUAUAUCCUCGAAUUCUUAUAUUACAUCCAAUAUAUAAUCCCGAGGCUCGUAAAGAUUUAUAUAUUCUCUUCUCCGAUUUCUUUUUUCCUAUUUUUUUUCAACACCGUCAUUCCAAGCUUUCUUUAAAAAGAUUUAAUUUCCAUGCGAUCGAAUCGGCAUGGAAAUUUUCCAAUUCACGAAUAAUCUUCGAACCUAUAUUUAACUUGGGAAAAAUCUUUGAUCGAUCGACGAGCCUAUCUCGAUACUAAUAUACAACAAUACAAUCGCUCUUCUUUACUAUUUUCAACUUAGAAUAAUUGUCAAAUAUGUUGCAGAUCAAAAAUUGGAGGUUGAAUUUUAUUUUACGCAAGUUAAGAUAAAAGAUAAAAUGAAAAUAUGUAUUUCGUAUUUUUUAAGAUAACCGAUUACAAAAAGAGAAUUAAAUUUCUGAACUAAUCUUUUUCAAAAUUUUUCGAAGCGAUUUAAUAAUAAGAUGGAAGACAAUCGAAAUUAAUAAUAUAUAAAGGAAAAAAGAACCUACCAUCUUUUUCCACCCAUCGCAAUUAUCUCCAGUCUACUUGUCCUUUAACUAACCAGCAAGAUCGUGUUGCUGCGGAAUAUUAAUUACGUCGCUGAAUCUUUACUAAUUAACAUCUUUUUUCUUUCUCUCCCCCUCCCUCUCGAAGGAUAAACCCGAAGCAACGACGAGCGCCUCGCCUUUGAGACAGUAAUUCGAUGGUAGUGUGAAUAAUUAGCGCACAUUCUUUAUGUAUCUCGCUUACGUAUUCUAUUUUCCCUUCGUUUCCCCUAUUUUUCGUGCAAGUUCGUUGCCCACCUCGUCAAUUUCACGACGCUAUUCCACUCCGCCAUCCACUUUCCAUUCAUUACUUAUUCCACCUCUUAUUUUCGCCGUUUCCUCCGGAGCCCGCCCAUUCCGAAAUUCAAAUUGAUAGAGCCGAGCAAGGGAUAAGAGCCACUAAAAAACAGGUACGUAGAUCGUUUCGAAAUUAGACAAUGGUGCUUCGACAUUUUCUUAAUUCCUCUUUUUUUUCUUUUCUUAAUUUUUUUUAGCUCGAGUUCAGAAAUGGGAUCAAAGAUUCUUUCGGAUUGGAUCGGAAGAAAUUGUAGCAAAAUUUUUUUUUCUACCAAAGAUAUAAAAUUAGAGACUAAUUCUUAAAUAGCGUGAUCGAAACGAUCGAGAGAAAGAGAGUGCAUGUGUCUGAACACUCUCGAGACAAUAUGUAUUGCAAUGUUUAUCUCGUUACAGGGAGAAGCGAGGUACCUUCAAAGAGUUCCGUUUAAGAGCUCCAUUAGACGCGUCAUCAGAGAAUCUUUGCGGAAGUUACGUCACGUUGAGAAGCAUCGAUCUAGUUAUCGCAGCCUGAAUACUUUCUGUGGAUCGUAUUCUCAGAUACGAGAUGCGGUUUAAUGCGAGUAAAUGUCUCGGUUUAUGGACGUAGAAAUGGCUGGGCGAGGCGGAUUUAUGGAGUUUACUUGGAAAAAUUUCCCCUCUGAUGAAAUCCGGCCGAUUGUAUUGAAAAUGAAAUAGAUCGAUUACAUUUGAACUGAUAUUACUCUUUCGAUUUUUAUUCGAACAAAAUUGAAUAUAAAUUAUGACGUAAUUUCUCGUAAUCGAAGAAAAUAUUUUACAAUUUACAACCAAGAUGACUCUCCAAAUCGUGGCAACCUGUUGUGUUUGCAAUCUUUGCAAAAUUGUACCAAUGAAAUUUCGUUCCAAUUCGCUCGGCAUGAUUCGAUCUUGUCAAACACAGGGAAAUUUGCCAUACAAAUUGAGCGAGUUAAUCAAAAAUGCAGUGACGAAGUAACACAAAAAAAAAAAAUCUUAUGACGCACGCAUCCACGUACCUAAAAAUUGAAAAGUUAAUCGAAAAAUAUCCCCCACGAGUAAGUACAACAUCCGUGUUAAAUUUUUUAUCCCGAUAAAAUUAAGCGUAUUUAGUUUUAGAGUCCAAGUUAACGCGUUUUACACGAGUUUUUCAGUUUUCACCCUUUGUUUUUUGUUCAAAAAAGAAAAGAAAGAGAGAGAGAGAGAGAAUAAUGGGCGAGGAAGGAUACGUUCACAUACGUUCAUGGUGUUUUUCACGAUUCGUAGUGUCUGCACGAGAUGUUAAUCCAGUUUUGUAAAGCAAGUGGAAGUUUCGUGCAAGCUUAACGCGGUAAAAAAUCGAAUUAGGCGAUUAUUCAGGGUCCGCGGCGCGUUCCCCUAAUUUGCAUUUCACACAGCGAAAUUUCCAUAACUAUAAGAAUAUCAAGGAGCGAGUGGUAUAAAACAUGUCCAACAUCACGGGAAAUGCGCUCCACGUUUACUUUUUCUUUUUUUUUUUUUUUUCUUUUUAUUUUUAUUUUCAGGGAUCACGUCCUACUUACGUGAGAUACAUUUAUCCCCCUGUAUAUAUUUCUAUAACACGUACAAGAUUUCAAUUUGAUUUACUUUUUUUAUAUACUGCAGCGCGGAAAUCGUUACUACUACCUGUUCCCUUUGCAACAAAGUUUCCCCGAUAAAAAUAAAAAUAAAAAUAACGAAAAUGUCGAGUAAGCGCCAUAGUAAAAAAAAAAAAAAAAAAAGAGGGAAGAUGAAAUUCUAUAUCGAAAGAUACGAAAUUUUAAAGUACAUGUAUCAAAUCGUUUAUAAAUUUAUUCCAUUCCAAUUUCUACUAACGUAACGCUAAGCAAUCGUCCAAUAAGAUAAUUACUCGAUAACCACGCUCUCCAAUUCCCUAGCCUCAAACUUGGGUAUUCACGCGCCUCGCCUAAGCAUUUCCCGGAGGAGAAAUACCGGUACAAUUACUUAUUUCGCGUUCUCCGACCUCGUUAAGAAGUUGGGCCGCCAAAUUUUGCAACCCCCGACACGCUCUGCGAAUUGUUGGAGAGCGUCUUUGGGAGAAUUUCUUCGUCAUUGAUUGCGAGGAGGCGCGCGAGAUUUGAUUAAUAAUAAACGGUGGUUCGAAAAACGAAGUUUCUUCUGGGAGAGGAAGAAGAGGAGGAGGAGGAGGAAAGUACAGGGGAAUCGGGCAAAUCGGGAUAAUUAAGAGGAUCGCUAACUGGCAAGCGUCGAAAGUUAGCGUGGAGGAAGGAUCGUUGAGGAAAUUACCUAAUUCGCGGCAAUCGGUCCCCAAGGUGAUACAGAGGGACUGUAAUCAAUGAAAUUGGAACACCCCUGGGCGAUAUACUUUGAAUUACACAUCGAGACGUGGUACGAUUAACGAGCGUGAUUUUGAGCUUGUUAUUUUGCCGAUACUGGCUUCUUAUAAAUUAGUCUCGUACCGAAUUGGUUACUUUAAUUGGUGGAAGAGUAUAUAGAGAGUACCGGUUUUACCAGUGUUGUAACGUAUCGGAUCGUGUUAUAAAUAUUCGAUUGAACGUUACGGUAAGUUGAUAAAGAUUGACCAAUAAUUGAUCUAUGGCUGGAAGAAUAUAUGGGUGGUUUAAUCGGUGGUUGACCUAUACCAUUUUGGUCAAAUGAUUGUGGAUAUAUUGCUGAUUGACCUAUACUUGCCUCGCCAAUGGCUGGCUUGUAUCACUGACCUGAUUAAUGGACAAUAUUAUUCUACUUGUCCGGCAAAUAAUUGAUCAAUGUUAUUUGCGAAAAAUAUAAUAUUGAGAUGAAAUAUAAUAUCGAGUGUACAAAGUUUCGAUCUGAAUUUUAAGUUUGAUGAAAAUAAAGGAUCAGAAUUUUCUGAAAGAUUCCGAUGUGUCUGUUAAUAAAUAUUAAUAAUUUACGUUGUCUUUUUCUUAGCUCAGAGGUUUAAUCUUUGAUCAAUUUUUAAAUUAUUCCAACGAGUUUAAAAAUAGUUUGAACAAACUUGCUUGAAUUUCUGCGAUUUCUCAUGUAUUUUCGAAAUUUAAUUCCAUUAACCGUAUUAUAUGAAAAUAUAAAUAUACCUUAAAUCUUAACGUUUCUUUCAAAUCAACUAUUCAUUAAUUAUUUAUUUUUAAAAUCAAAUAAACCGAAUAAAUAAAUAUUAAUCGUUUCACGAAAAGGAUAUUGGCAUAAAUUUCACACCGAACUCGUAUUUCCGCAACGUGGUUGAACAAGAAAAUUGAAAAAUUCCUACGACAAUAUAAAUAUUCCAAAAAAACCUUGCUGCCCUUUAAAACGAGUUUAAACAAAAAUAUAUGUGAAAAAAAAAUAUAUAUCAAAAAUCCAGUUGCAAAAUUCCAUAAAUAUCCAUUUCCAAAACGAUCCAUCCUCGCCAUCAUCGCUAAAAAACAAACUACACCCCCUCCACAAUCCCUUUUUUCCACUCUUCCUAAAAAAAGAAAACCAUUCGCGUAUCGCAACAUUCUCGCUCGAAUUCCGCACGAUUCAACCAAAUCUCGACGUUAAAUUCCUGAAGGCUGGAACGGCGACACUUUACAGCGAUAGCGUACACCAGUAUCAGUCGUGCAAUUGGAAUCCCGAUUCGGGGUUUCGAAGUGGAGGAGUGUGCAGGGCUCGAGAAUCAAUUUGCAUUCAAUAAUCCACGAUCGUUAAGUCGGAUAUGUUCGGCGGAGCGUGGAGAGCGGGAGCCAGGGCCCGGAAAUCGGCACUGGGAUUAGACGCUUUGUCGGCCGAUAAGACGCCCACCUUUCGGCCUGGUCGGCCCCGGUUUGCUUAUGAAUGGCGGCCACGCUCCACGAUUCAAUGCGUGCCUGUAAACGACCGCAUUCAACGGCCAUCUAUGCGCCCAUUCAACCGUGUUCGACGAACUUGUCGCUCACCGUCGAGCAACUUGCGAACGGCCAACACCUUCCAAACCUUGUUACAAACCGAGAAAUGGGAUAAGAAGUUUGGAACGAUUGGCAACGCUCUCGUGGAACAACGUGAGUGGAAGCAGCGAUUUAGCACAACAAUUCUAUCUUUUUUACCUCUGAAUUGAAGAAAUUUGGAACUAUCGAAUUUUGAAAUUUCUUCCUUUGUGUCCUCAGAUCGAUUAAUUAUUUGGUUUUUAAUUAGUUUUAUAAUCAGUGUACUGGAUUCAUGAGAUGAAGGAUGAAGAAUGAGAUGUUGGAGUUUUGAAUAUUUAAGGUGAAAAUUGGAGGAAAUAAUAUAGAGAAAUUUGCAUUUUUUCCCAAUGAUUUAUUCAUUACUUCGUGUUACAAGAUAAGGCUAAUAUAAUAGCAAGGCUUUUCGCGUGCAAUUUGAGUUUCGUUACAUGGAUGCGAAAUGCUUGUCAUGUGCCGAAGUGCAUAAUAUUCAAAUAGAUUACGUGAAUUACAAGAGCACGUAGCGAGACAUGUGAUUACACUGCUAUUUUCUUAAUCGAUUAUCUUCUAUUACUACCAUCGAGACGCGCGUUUAAACGCGGGUCGCUCGUUAGAAUUUUUUUUUUUCUUCUUUUUUAUUAUUUUUCUGUAGAUAAGUUAACCCCUUCAGGAAUGAAAAGAUAAUAUAUAUAUAUGAUAAUAUUAAUUACAUUAUCACCGAAUGACGAAUAAUAUCGAAGAAAUUCCGAUUCCUUCGAGAUACAUAAUUUGAAUUAGAUAAAAAUUAUCCCUCAAGAGGUUAAACAGGACGAAUCUUUAUCUAGUUUUACGUUCAAUCGUUCACCCGUUCGGACGAAUUUCUCGUCAAAAAAUCGAACCACACACGCGCGCGCGCACACACACACACGACCAUUCGUUCACUACUGCAUGUACAACUCACGACGAAGUAUUAGAAACGAUAGCGAAAAUAUUAUGUACAGAUUGAUUUCGUAUCGAUGCUAAAUUAUUAAUUAGAACAAUAGUAUAGUUAGUGCCUUAGCGAGUAAUGAAACGGCUGAAGAUGAUAAUGAGAAUUUGUAUUAUUUUAUUUCAUUUUUUUUUGUUUUUUUUUUUAAUUCUUUUCACUCUCGUGAAAAAUAAGUAAAAUAACAAAAUUUUGAAUUACAAAGUGAGAAAUUCUUUCUCCAUUUAAACUUUUACGUAUUUUUAAAUUUAAUUAAAAAGUGUGUGACGUGUCGCGCAAUUUAAAACAGCGUACAUUUAAAAGAUUGAGAGAGGAAUCAUCUUCGAUCGUUUCAAAGGAAAGUUUCAUCGAAUUUUGUGAGAAUUGUUCAGACUAUGUGAUUAAAAAGUUGAAAAAAAAUAAUUGUGGUAUAAAAAUAACGAUAUUUUUAAAGAGGAUGCGUGUUAAUAAUACGCUUCGGUUAUUAAACGGCUUCUAUCCUCAUUUCUUCUUGAAUCUUCUAUCGUAACAAAAUGAUCGAAUCGAUGUGCAUUUUCUGCUGUCUCAACUUCUCAUAGAGAUGCUCCUCUAUCUAUGAAAAUAGAGGCUUUCGUAGGAAGCCAUCAGCAAGAAGAUGAUCAUCUCCGACGUAGCUUGAACCUUUGCCCAUAAACGAGGAUAUAAAGAUACUUAAGAAAGCUACUACGAUCUAUAACCUGAAUGAAAAAUCGAAGAAUUCAAAACGUAGACCUCUUUUUCUUCUCAAAAAUGCUACUCGAAUUAAUUUAAUUUACAUUAAAUCUGUGUUAAUAUAAUAUGAAAUUACCCGAUACGAAUUUCUAAAAAAGAGAAGGAUGUAACAGAAUUUCACAAGUCACCGAAACAAUUUCAUCUUCUAUUGUUCCACAGAAAGUUGUCCACAAAUCCAAAUUUUUCUUCAACUUUUUAAUUUCUCUAACGCAAAUAAUAAUAAUAAUAAUAAUACAUUUCAGAGACUAGAGAAGAAAAUCUAAUGGCAUCUCCGCACGUAAGAAUUCUUCCUUCAAGUUCAACGAAACUUUCCUCUUGAAAUAAUGUACGGCCAACCAUUUUACGAGAAGUGUGUCGUAACGUAUUAAAUAUUAUCGGCAAAUUUCUUUCGCGAGAAACCGCUCAAGGGUUUUCCUUCUUCUUCUUCUUUGUCCCUAGCCGCGGAUAACUAAACGAAAGGCGGCGAAAACGACUCGUGCGUCACAUUCGCGGUAUUCUUUCGAUAUACGAGCAAUAUUUUCGGGAAGAGUCUUGGUCAGCCGUUCCACCGUGAUAGAAACCGCCCACAGCGGUAAAAAUUAUAUUUCAGGAGGGAUUCUCGACGGCCUCCGACCGGAAAGGUUCGUUUUAAAGAGAUUGUCACGCGGUGAAGACUGUUACCGCCGCGGGACAUUCGAAAAGAUGUUCGAAAUGGAAGGUUGCUUUAACAGGAUCUUUGGUCGAUUUGGAUUUUCGAAGAUUUUCGCUUCGAAAUUAAUAUUGUUUCUUGCUUUUGACCAAGAUAGAUUGAUAGAUCGUGGCACAGGGUGGAGAAAUUUUAAAUGCAUAAUUUUGAUCGAUGAAAGAACGUACUUGAGUUAUUUUGAGCGUAAUUUAUGAUGUAUAUGCAUUGCAUUUUAUUAAUUGAUCAAUUUAUAAUCAUUUGCAACAUGCUAGAACACCUCGUGGAAUUAUAGAAAUUAAUUUUUCUACGAUAUCACGCUUAUAAAAUAACAUUAUAUAAAUAUUAUGUUGCAUAUAUGUUACAUUGUAUCAAUAUAAUUGAACCAAGUAUUCGUUAUAUUAUCGCAUCAUAUACUUCCGUUCUAUCAAUCAAUAUUGCACAAGAGUAAUAGCGAUACUCGACGAGUAUUUUCAAAACUCCACCCUUUUCACAAUCGAGCUUCUUCCUUUCUCUCGGAGGCGGGAUCCCGAAAUAUUAUUUCUACUCUCGAGACGGUUCGUUCGACAGCUGCUUGCGAACGAUUUCGAGUGUCGACGAAUGAACGUCACGUCAACAACCACUCGUUUCGACCAACUUUUCGAACGGAUAACACUCUCGCACACGUUACACUUCGAUCGUUUCGAGCAUUCCAUGGACAAGUUUAAGAGGAGGAUAAAGUCUCGCGAGUUGAAUAUUUAAGGGCGAAAAUUUCGGAGGGGGGAAAAAAAAAAGAAAA